RNAcentral lists this non-coding RNA (25 nucleotides) under Cricetulus griseus (Chinese hamster). The record is from RNAcentral. Lineage: Eukaryota; Metazoa; Chordata; Mammalia; Rodentia; Cricetidae.
UAAAUGGUGGACGAGUACUGUGGAU